Molecule: long non-coding RNA, 334 nt
Organism: Physeter macrocephalus (sperm whale)
Lineage: Eukaryota; Metazoa; Chordata; Mammalia; Artiodactyla; Physeteridae
Exons: 3
Source: RefSeq, a predicted model, not a curated record
AGAAGCCCCGAAGGCUCUGGGGGAGACGGAAAUGCACACCAGUCAGCCUGAGCCCUUACCUGCCACCCUCUCGGCAUCCAGAGCCGGCAGCUUCUCGGUUUUAUUUCCCUCCUUUGGAUUCCCAGGACCUGGGUGUUCCUCCGUGAGAUCUAUCCAGGCCUGUCCCUUGGGCAGAACAACGGGAGGCUGGCCUGGUCACCAGAAAAUCUCUACUUUCUGGGUCUGGCCACUGAAAAGCCUAGAAGCAAUGGCAACUUGAUAACAGUGACUCUCCUGAGGCCUAGCCUGUGGCCUCUAAACACCAUUUCCCACCAGAGGAUCUAGAGAUUCUUGA